Molecule: small nuclear RNA, 159 nt
Filed under: Salvator merianae (Argentine black and white tegu)
Lineage: Eukaryota; Metazoa; Chordata; Lepidosauria; Squamata; Teiidae
Description: U1 spliceosomal RNA (ENSSMRG00000009173.1)
Source: RNAcentral
UUUGAAGCCUGGCUGGGGAAAUACCAAGAUUAAUAAGGUGGUUUUCCCCACACGGGACUCAGUCUUGGCACUCUGAGUCUGCUGACCUGCUGCAAUUCCCCUAAUGCCAGAAACAUAGCUCCGCAAUUUAUGAUAUUCAUGCAUCCAUGCUUUAAAGAA